Molecule: long non-coding RNA, 1738 nt
Filed under: Linum usitatissimum (flax)
Lineage: Eukaryota; Viridiplantae; Streptophyta; Magnoliopsida; Malpighiales; Linaceae
Description: long non-coding RNA (LUSI_LNC003058)
Source: RNAcentral
CUGGGGAAAAAAACACUUUUCAAACUUACAUGAACUUCUCUCCUAUUAGUCGUACUGUGUACGAGCAAAUGUAGUAGUUGGAAUAUCACCGCUAGCUGUUUAGCUUUGUCAAAAGUAGCGUAUUUGUGAGGUAACUGAACUUAGAAAUCGAUAUAUUUGAAUUUUCAAUUAACAAUUUUAGUUCAGUUGGUAGGGUUAUUUAUUUUGUAAUUUGGAGGUUCGUAUUUAAAUCUAGUCACACCUAAAACAUAGAGACCUAUAAUAUUGAGUGAAUUUUUCACCCUUGUGUUGCUUUGGAUUUUGCCGUACAGACUUAUCCCCUCUCAAAAAUAUGUUUCGUGUUUUUCGAUGGAAUUUGAUAGGUGGAUAUUAAAGAGACAUGAAGUUAGUGCUUUAAAGACGGCUAUGCCUAAACAUUCAAUACAUAACAAGUGUAGUCAUCGUACCGGAAAAAAAUAGAGAAAAAGAUGUUAAUUUCUAAAAUAACUUGUUAAUCUUUUAAGAAAUAAUGAUUCAAUGAGGCACAACCUGUCAGAUUAUUAUCGAAAAUAACAUAACCUAUUGAAAAUGCCACGGUCAAUCGUAACGGUUAUUGGUCAACGUCAUAAUUUGUUGUUAAGGUAGACGAUUAGCACACACCGUUAUUGCAGUUGGAGGAUUUGCUGCCACAUCAAUGCCACAGCGGAUGCAGUUUGUGCCACGUGGACUUUGGCGAGCUGCCACGUGUUCAUUUAAAAGAUAAGGUUCCCUAUCCUGAUGGCAUCUUCCCCACACCCACAACCCCACUGUUGGUUUUUCUUCAUCUGCGAUUUCUUUAGGGUUCGCAGUCAUCGUCUCUUGGUUUCUUUAUCGGACUCGUUGAAUCCACGAUUAGAUUUAUUCCUCUUCCAAUCUAGUUGUUUCCGGUGAGAGGUUUCGCCCACACUGGAUCGGUGCAAUGAAGACGACGUCGCCGUCCACCACUGAGUCAUCGAGCUCGACUCAGCAUCCAAAACAGUGUAGGCACAGAAAACAAGCUGAUCUUUUUGUUUCUGGGACGACGGAGAACCCAGGGAGGAAGUUCUAGCGAUGCUCUUUGUGGACGGCAAAGUUGGCGUUGAGUUAAAUUAGUCCUGUAGUUGCCCCUUGCCCCCUUUUGCUUAUUUGGAGUUCCAUUGCUGAAAAAUUACAGGACAAGAAGGUUGAUUGCAAAUAUUUUGAGUGGGCUGAUCCAGCCGAUUGCAAAGGCGAAAGAGAAACAUACUGCGGUAGGUCAUCCGAUCGCAUUUGUGAGGACUGCAAUUUGACAGCCAUCACUUGCCGAUCGAAUACUGGAAUCGAGUACCAUACGAUGGACUCCGUGCUGAAGGAUUUGGUUGCCAUCAAGAUCAAGUUAGCCGCUUUGAAAGAAGCUCAAGAUGCAUCGCUGGAGGAAAUAAAACAAGUUAAUGCGAUUAUGUCUAGAUUGGUUACUGAUUUGUGGUUUGUUGUUGGUGUUUGUAACUACAACUAUAGGUUUGUUUGUGGCCGUUGUUUUUGGCUCUUCAUCUGCCAAACGUAUAUAGAGAGGCACCCAGACAAACGAACAGCGAAGAAAGGAAGCGCCAUACCUUUUCGAAUGUUAUCGACGGUGUACAGGGAAAAGGAGGCGGGGACGAUCGACUGCUGCAAUCUACGGAAAUCGAGGACUGGUUCGGGAACCCUAACCGUCGCCGAUUUAAACUCUCGUGGAUCUGGAUUCGUGUCACAUGCUCGACGG